This 216-nucleotide ribosomal RNA is filed under the name uncultured bacterium. RNAcentral's name for it is "partial 16S ribosomal RNA". It matches the Rfam family "Bacterial small subunit ribosomal RNA", at positions 524 to 738 of the family's 1533-position model. The record is from RNAcentral.
UACGUAGGGUGCAAGCGUUGUCCGGAAUUAUUGGGCGUAAAGAGCUCGUAGGCGGUUUGUCGCGUCGGGAGUGAAAUCCACUGGCUUAACUGGUGGCUUGCUUUCGAUACGGGGCAGACUGGAGGUAUGCAGGGGAGAACGGAAUUCCUGGUGUAGCGGUGAAAUGCGCAGAUAUCAGGAGGAACACCGGUGGCGAAGGCGGAUCUCUGGGCCGAU